Molecule: ribosomal RNA, 406 nt
Filed under: uncultured bacterium
Lineage: Bacteria
Description: partial 16S ribosomal RNA
Rfam family: Bacterial small subunit ribosomal RNA
Source: RNAcentral
AUUGAACGCUGGCGGCAGGCCUAACACAUGCAAGUCGAACGAGUGGCGGACGGGUGAGUAAUGUCUGGGAAACUGCCUGAUGGAGGGGGAUAACUACUGGACACGGUCGCUAAUCCCGCAUCCCCUGAGAUGUGCCCAGAGGGGAUUAGCUAGUUGGUGGGGUAACGGCUCACCAAGGCGACGAUCCCUAGCUGGUCUGAGAGGAUGACCAGCAACACUGGAACUGAGACACGGUCCAGACUCCUACGGGAGGCAGCAGUGGGGAAUAUUGCACAAUGGGCGAAAGCCUGAUGCAGCCAUGCCGCGUGUAUGAAGAAGGCCUUCGGGUUGUAAAGUACUUUCAGCGGGGAGGCGUUACCCGCAGAAGAAGCACCGGCUAACUCCGUGCCAGCAGCCGCGGUAAUUC